UGAGGCUACUGGGGAGCUUGAGCCCGGGAGAUAGAGGUUGCAGUGAGCUAUGAUUGCCACUGCACUCCAGCCUGGGCCACAAAGUGAGACCCUGUCUUAAAAUAUAUAAAAAUAUAAAUUAAAAAAAAUUUUUAAAGAUGGUAUUUAACCAGAGUCAGGAGUUUUCGUAUAUCCCUACUAUGGAAUAUUAUUUAGCCAUGAAAAGGAAUUAA
This 212-nucleotide long non-coding RNA is filed under the name Pan troglodytes (chimpanzee). RNAcentral describes it as "long non-coding RNA NONPTRT003374". The record is from RNAcentral. Lineage: Eukaryota; Metazoa; Chordata; Mammalia; Primates; Hominidae.